Molecule: small nucleolar RNA, 130 nt
Organism: Gastrolobium bilobum
Lineage: Eukaryota; Viridiplantae; Streptophyta; Magnoliopsida; Fabales; Fabaceae
Product: small nucleolar RNA snoR74
Exons: 1
Source: RefSeq, a predicted model, not a curated record
AAAAAAGCAGGGGUCAGUUGCCUAUGUGAACUGGCCUCUCGUAAACUUCAGGGAUAUAAAUCUUCAUUGUUUUUGGGUGAACCUCUUUUCUUUCUUAGUGACUGAAGGUUCAGUAAAUGAUGGAACAAAC